UUCCGGUUGAUCCUGCCAGACCCCACUGCUAUCGGGAUAGGACUAAGACAUGCAAGUCAAGCGCUUUCUAGCUAAUGUGAGAGCGCGGCGUACAGCUCAGUAACACGUGGCCAACCUGCCCUUGGGACGGGAACACCCCCGGGAAACUGGGGUUAAUUCCCGAUAGGUGAAGAAGUCUGGAAUGACUCUUCGCUCAAAAGACGUUUAUGUCAUGCUCAUAUUCGUCGCCCAGGGAUGGGGCCGCGACCGAUCAGGUUGUUGGUGAGGCAAUGGCUCACCAAGCCUUUUACCGGUGCGGGCCGUGAGAGCGGGAGCCCGGAGAUGGGCACUGAGACAAAGGCCCAGGCCCCACGGGGCGCAGCAGUCGCGAAAAUUUUGCAAUACACGAAAGUGUGACAGAGCUAUCCCGAGUGCCAUCCGCUGAGGAAGGCUUUUACCCAGUAUAAAUAGCUGGGAGAAUAAGGAGAGGGCAAGUCUGGUGUCAGCCGCCGCGGUAAUACCAGCUCUCCGAGUAGUGUGGACGUUUAUUGGGCCUAAAGCAUCCGUAGCUUGCUAGAUAAGUCCUCUGUUAAAUCCACCGAUUCAAUCGUUGGAUUGCGGGGGAUACUGUUUGGCUAGGGGACGGGAGAGGUCGACGGUAUUUCCGGGGUAGGGGUGAAAUCCUAUAAUCCCGGGAGGACCACCAGUGGCGAAGGCUGUCGACUAGAACGCGCCCGACGGUGAGGGAUGAAAGCUGGGGGAGCGAACCGGAUUAGAUACCCGGGUAGUCCAGCUGUAACGAUGCAGUAUGGGUGUUGCGAUGGCCACGAGCCGCCCUAGUGCCGCAGGGAAGCUGUUAAGCCUGCCGCCUGGGGAGUACGGCCGCAAGGCUGAAACUUAAAGGAAUUGGCGGGGGAGCACCACAAGGGGUGAAGCUUGCGGUUCAAUUGGAUUCAACGCCGGA
RNAcentral lists this ribosomal RNA (943 nucleotides) under uncultured crenarchaeote. RNAcentral's name for it is "bacterial SSU rRNA". It matches the Rfam family "Archaeal small subunit ribosomal RNA", at positions 1 to 922 of the family's 1478-position model. The record is from RNAcentral. Lineage: Archaea; Thermoproteati; Thermoproteota.